RNAcentral lists this ribosomal RNA (168 nucleotides) under Chelidoperca stella. RNAcentral describes it as "partial 12S rRNA". The record is from RNAcentral. Lineage: Eukaryota; Metazoa; Chordata; Actinopteri; Perciformes; Serranidae.
CACCGCGGUUAUACGAGAGACCCCAGUUGAUAGACUCCGGCGUAAAGCGUGGUUAAGAUCUAGUUAUACUAAAGCCGAAUACCCUCAAAGUUGUUAUACGCUCUCGAGGGAAAGAAGCCCAUCAACGAAAGUAGCUUUAUAAACCCUGACCCCACGAAAGCUAGGAAA